Molecule: ribosomal RNA, 253 nt
Filed under: uncultured bacterium
Lineage: Bacteria
Description: partial 16S ribosomal RNA
Rfam family: Bacterial small subunit ribosomal RNA
Source: RNAcentral
AACGUAGGAGGCGAGCGUUAUCCGGAGUUACUGGGCGUAAAGCGCGUGCAGGCGGUCUUGCGCGUCUGAUGUGAAAGCUCCCGGCUAAACUGGGAGAGGGCGUCGGAUACGGCAGGACUAGAGGCCAGUAGAGGGGUAUGGAAUUCCGGGUGUAGUGGUGAAAUGCGUAGAGAUCCGGAGGAACACCAGAGGCGCAGGCGAUACCCUGGGCUGGAACUGACGCUGAGACGCGAAGGCAUGGGGAGCGAACGGG